UUAUUAUAUAAAAUAAUAAUAAUAUCGUUCAACUUUCUUUAUAUCAUCGCAUCGGAUUGUUACCUAGCAAAUUUUGAUUAUUGAUAGGCUUAGGUGAACAAUGGAUCUUCAGGAAGAAGGAGAAAACUUCGUUUUUCUUCUACUCCUCUUGCUGCUGUCGCUAGCUACUGGAGAGGAAAUUAGACGUCUGAACGAGAAGAUAGGGGCGUUGACCUCAGACCUUAAGAAAACAAAAGCAGAUAUCAAACUUUAUGGAAAGAUCUGUUAUGUUCAAGAUUAUAAUUCUGAGAGAGUGAUUUCAAGAGGAUCAAAGAAGUAUGCAGAAGACCUAGGAAGUGGUUUCAGCUCAGAUGAGGAGUCCAAAUACAAGAAGAUGUAAGAAGAGGAUAUAAAUCCAUUUGCAGCUUUCUCGAAGAAGGAAAGGGACCAAAGAUACAAGGAACUAGGUUUGAGAGACAAGAUUACUUCAGGAGUGGAUGUUUUCUUCUUGGUAACAAGCUACAGCAGUUGUUGCUGCUUUAAACCCUGCUUCAGCAAUUUCUGGCUUCUUUGAGCAUCAUGAGCAAAACUGAAACACUACCUGAGGUGUCUUCCUGUUUUCCUGCGUUCUCUUUCCUCGUGGUACUCUUGUGCAUGUCCAGUUACAGCGCGACAAUGAAUGGAAGGACCAUGCGAUGAAAUCUGGUAUGAAGUAAAGGAUACAAGUUAGAUAUACUGAUAGUGUGAAGAAGUUACAAAUACAUGAGAUUAAGUGUACAUACCUUAUAAGUGACUUGAUAAUGUUAUUUUUUUAUUUCUGGUCUCUUUUCAAUUUGGUGAUUUCAUUGUUGGAAUAUAUGCUACUUUAUUUGCUUCACAUACUUGAUUUUUAAGCCAAAGAUAUCUAUCAGAUACAACUUUUUUGUGUACACUCCAUUACAUUGUGUAUGUUAUUGUAAUAAGUGAUCGAGUAUAUAUGUUUGCUAUGCGGAAGUCACUUGACUUGUGUUUAAUUGCAUUCUUCUACGAAGGGCUUGUGUCAUUUAGAUUUGCAUUUCACAUUGUAAAAUAAAACGUCAAUUUAUUAAACGAAUCGAUAUACCUCAACACAACGUAAAAUCAAUUAGUUUUAUGUAGCUCAUUAUCAUUUUCUUUUACUGUCUUAUGGCAAAUCUCACCAGAGAUUUUUAUUUUUGCAUGUUAAGUUUGGAUUUCAAUAUUUCAACUAGGUAUCACAAUCAGUUAAUCACACUAGUUAUAUACUAGCUCAUUAUAAAUGUUCUUUUAAUUAUGCAGCUCAUAUAUUUUCAAAUUUAUCUUUGAAAUUGUUAUUGUUCAUGUGCCUUAAAUUGAAUAACCGAUAAUCUUUUGUUUCCACUGAAAUAACUAUACCCCAGCAUAGGAACCUAUGGCACUUAAGUAGGCAGUAAAAAACUAAAAAUCGUGAGGCACUACCGUACAAGUACGUUCAUCUGCACCUCGCUAUGCUAUAGAGCCUUAACUUUUUGAAGUAUGUUGAAGAAUCUUUAUCUCAAUAUAUAAAAUGCUAAGCUUCUAAUAGUAUUAAUGUCGUUGUAGUAUAGUGGUAAGUAUUCCCGCCUGUCACGCGGGUGACCCGGGUUCGAUCCCCGGCAACGGCGUUCGUUUUUGCCCUGCCGGCGACUCUGGUUUUCCCGAUUCAUCAAGCAGAAAUGGGAAUUAACAUAUUUUACUCUUUCAUCACAAUAAAGUUGUUGUAGUAUAGUGGUAAGUAUUCCCGCUUGUCACGAGGGUGACCCGGGUUCGAUCCCCGGCAGCGGCGUUCAUUUUUUUAAUGCGCAACUGCAUUCAGAUCAAACUUCCGUCGGGUACUAAAUUCCGAUUCCGGCCACACAUCUAAAGCUCGAUGACUGUAGAGUUAGAUGAGCAGCACUUCCGCAGAACUUUUUAAAAUGUUGCCAAAGAUAUGUCAAUGGAGCAGUGUCGUUUUCACUGUGUUCUUCGGAAAAGGUAUUUUCCUUUUUGUGAUUCUGGUACUGAUCUUCCUCAUUAUUCUGAUUUGCAUCAUUUUCGUUAUUUAAUUUUGUAGUUUCCUUUUAAUAUGUGUGUCUAAAUUUUUAUCACAAAGUACUUAAAUAAUUGCAAAUAAAUAUAAAUUGGUGCAUGCA
Solanum lycopersicum (tomato) is the source of this 2126-nucleotide non-coding RNA. Lineage: Eukaryota; Viridiplantae; Streptophyta; Magnoliopsida; Solanales; Solanaceae. The record is from RefSeq and is a predicted model, not a curated record.